RNAcentral lists this ribosomal RNA (749 nucleotides) under uncultured Pseudoramibacter sp. RNAcentral describes it as "bacterial SSU rRNA". It matches the Rfam family "Bacterial small subunit ribosomal RNA", at positions 28 to 776 of the family's 1533-position model. Lineage: Bacteria; Bacillati; Bacillota; Clostridia; Eubacteriales; Eubacteriaceae. The record is from RNAcentral.
GACGAACGCUGGCGGUAUGCUUAACACAUGCAAGUCGAACGAGAAGUCUUUUAUUGAACCUUCGGGGGAUAUAAGAGACAGACAGUGGCGAACGGGUGAGUAACGCGUGGGCAACCUACCUAUCGGAGCGGGAUAGCCUCGAGAAAUCGGGAGUAAAACCGCAUAACGCGGAUAUAUCGCAUGAUGAAUCCGUCAAAACUCCGGUGCCGAUAGAUGGGCCCGCGUCUGAUUAGCUAGUUGGUAAGGUAAGGGCUUACCAAGGCAACGAUCAGUAGCCGGUCUGAGAGGGCGAACGGCCACACUGGAACUGAGACACGGUCCAGACUCCUACGGGAGGCAGCAGUGGGGAAUAUUGCGCAAUGGGGGCAACCCUGACGCAGCAAUACCGCGUGAGUGAAGAAGGUUUUCGGAUCGUAAAGCUCUGUUAUUGGGGAAGAAGCAGUGACGGUACCCAAUGAGGAAGUCCCGGCUAACUACGUGCCAGCAGCCGCGGUAAUACGUAGGGGACGAGCGUUGUCCGGAAUCACUGGGCGUAAAGGGCGCGUAGGCGGUUUUAUAAGUCAGAUGUGAAAGGUACCGGCUCAACCGGUGACGUGCAUUUGAAACUGUAAGACUUGAGUACUGAAGAGGCAAGCGGAAUUCCUAGUGUAGCGGUGAAAUGCGUAGAUAUUAGGAAGAACACCGGUGGCGAAGGCGGCUUGCUGGGCAGAUACUGACGCUGAGGUGCGAAAGCGUGGGGAGCGAACAGG